AAUGAACGCUGGCGGCGUGCUUAACACAUGCAAGUCGAACGGAGUGGCGAACGGGAGAAUAACACGGGGGUGAGCUGCCCUGCACUUCGGGAUACGCGUGGGAAACUGCGUAUAAUACCAGAUAGUGUUGGAUGGGCUCGCGGACUAUCGGGUUGUGGGUGGGGUAAGGGCUUACCAAGGCGGCGACGGGUAGCCGGCCUGAGAGGGUGGACGGCCACAUUGGGACUGAGACACGGCCCAGAAUCCUACGGGAGGCAGCAGGGGGGAAUAUUGCACAAUGGGGGGAAGCCUGAUGAAGCGACGCCGCGUGGGGGAUGACGGCCUUCGGGUUGUAAACUCCGUUCACCAUCGACGCGGUAGAUGGAGAAGAAGCACCGGCUAACUACGUGCCAGCAGCCGCGGUAAUAC
This 408-nucleotide ribosomal RNA is filed under the name uncultured bacterium. RNAcentral's name for it is "partial 16S ribosomal RNA". It matches the Rfam family "Bacterial small subunit ribosomal RNA", at positions 29 to 526 of the family's 1533-position model. The record is from RNAcentral.